UGGGGAAUAUUGCACAAUGGGCGCAAGCCUGAUGCAGCCAUGCCGCGUGUGUGAAGAAGGCCUUCGGGUUGUAAAGCACUUUCAGCGGGGAGGAAGGCGGUGAGGUUAAUAACCUCAUCGAUUGACGUUACCCGCAGAAGAAGCACCGGCUAACUCCGUGCCAGCAGCCGCGGUAAUACGGAGGGUGCAAGCGUUAAUCGGAAUUACUGGGCGUAAAGCGCACGCAGGCGGCCUGUCAAGUCGGAUGUGAAAUCCCCGGGCUCAACCUGGGAACUGCAUUCGAAGCUGGCAGGCUAGAGUCUUGUAGAGGGGGGUAGAAUUCCAGGUGUAGCGGUGAAAUGCGUAGAGAUCUGGAGGAAUACCGGUGGCGAAGGCGGCCCCCUGGACAAAGACUGACGCUCAGGUGCGAAAGCGUGGGGAGCAAACAGGAUUAGAUACCUUGGUAGUCCACGCCGUAAACGAUGUCGAUUUGGAGGUUGUGCCCUUGAGGCGUGGCUUCCGGAGCUAACGCGUUAAAUCGACCGCCUGGGGAGUACGGCCGCAAGGUUA
RNAcentral lists this ribosomal RNA (549 nucleotides) under uncultured bacterium. Its description in RNAcentral is "bacterial SSU rRNA". It matches the Rfam family "Bacterial small subunit ribosomal RNA", at positions 355 to 896 of the family's 1533-position model. The record is from RNAcentral.